GCAGGGGAGAUAAGUGCUCCAUGAGAGGAAACCACAGCGGUUCUAAAGAAUUUGUGCAGGGAAGCCUGUGUUUCCUACAGACUGGGCUGGUCAACUAAAAGAGAAGACUCAUGGGAGGGAGGCGGCAAAACAGGGUUCAAAGGAUUGAGCUGAAAAAGAUUCUUAUCUGAGCCGAUUGACUUUUCCUCACAGAGACUAAACUUUUGACAAUUUGUGGGGACACGAUCAUAAAAUAUACCUUUCAGUGGUUAAUUUUGAA
Long non-coding RNA from Mastomys coucha (southern multimammate mouse), 259 nucleotides. RefSeq lists it as uncharacterized. The record is from RefSeq and is a predicted model, not a curated record. NCBI's taxonomy places the organism in Eukaryota, Metazoa, Chordata, Mammalia, Rodentia, Muridae. The transcript is spliced from 2 exons.